CCAAGGGAAAUAAGCGCAGACGGUGGAUGCCUUGGCAAUCAGAGGCGAUGAAAGACGUGAUAGCCUGCGAAAAGCUUCGGGGAGCUGGCAAAUGAGCAUUGAUCCGAAGGUGUCUGAAUGGGGGAACCCAACUAGGAUAACCUAGUUAUCCUACCACUUUUGAUAUUCUAUAGAUUAGCUGAACUAAUACAUGAGAUACGAGAGUAUGGAGUGAGAUCUGUUUUGUUAAUUUUGAUGGGAUAUAAAAAGUGGUAGGAGGCGAACGUGGGGAACUGAAACAUCUAAGUACCCAUAGGAAAAGAAAUCAACCGAGAUUCCCUAAGUAGCGGCGAGCGAACGGGGAUUAGCCUGGUAUAUUUUAGCAUAGUUAUUAGUGGAGCAUUCUGGGAAGGAUGGCCAUAGAAGGUGAUAGCCCUGUACACGAAAGUGAUUAUGUGGAACUAGAUAUACGACUAAGUAGGGCGGGACACGAGAAAUCCUGUUUGAAGAUGGGGGGACCAUCCUCCAAGGCUAAAUACUACUGAUUGACCGAUAGUGAACCAGUACCGUGAGGGAAAGGCGAAAAGAACCCCAAUAAGGGGAGUGAAAUAGAACCUGAAACCGUCUGCGUACAAGCAGUGGGAGCAUGAUUGAGUCAUGUGACUGCGUACCUUUUGUAUAAUGGGUCAGCGAGUUGAUUAUAGUGGCGAGGAUAACCGUAUAGGGGAUCCGAAGGGAAACCGAGUUUUAAUAGGGCGUUAAGUCGCUAUGAUCAGACCCGAAACCGGCGCGAUCUAUCCAUGGCCAGGUUGAAGGUUGGGUAACACCAACUGGAGGACCGAACCCGGUAAUGUUGCAAAAUUAUGGGAUGAGCUGUGGAUCGGAGUGAAAGGCUAAUCAAGCACGGAGAUAGCUGGUUCUCCCCGAAAACUAUUUAGGUAGUGCCUUGUGAAUGACUCGUUGGGGUAAAGCACUGUUUCGACUAGGGGGGUUUUGCGACCUUACCGACUCGAUGCAAACUCAGAAUACGACGAAGUUUUAUCACAGGAGACACACUGCGGGUGCUAAGGUCCGUAGUGGAGAGGGAAAGAGCCCAGACCGCCAGCUAAGGUCCCCAAGUUAUCGCUAAGUGGGAAACGAAGUGGGAAGGCCCAGACAGCCAGGAGGUUGGCUUAGAAGCAGCCAACCUUUAAAGAAAGCGUAAUAGCUCACUGGUCGAGUCGGCCUGCACGUAAGAUUUAACGGGGCUAAGCGAUACACCGAAGCUGCGGAUAAUAUUUAUAUUAUGGUAGGGGAGCGUUCUGUAAGCUGAUGAAGGUGACUUGAGAAGGUUGCUGGAGGUAUCAGAAGUGCGAAUGCUGACAUGAGUAACGUAAAAAUAAGUGAGAUUCUUAUUGGCCGGAAGUCCAAGGAUUCCUACGCAAUGUUAAUCAACGUAGGGUAAGUCGGCCCCUAAGGCGUAGCUGAAGAGUGAAGUCGAUGGGAAUCAGGUUAAUAUUCCUGAACCGAUAAUUAUUGUGAUGGAGAGACGGAGAAAGCUAGAUCUGCCUGGUGGAUGGUAAUCCAGGUGAAAGUAUGUAGGUAGUGUUAUUAGGCAAAUCCGGUAGCAUGUUGAUCUGAGAUACGAGACGAAGUGGAACUUGUUCCACGAAGAGGUUGAUGCUCUGCUUCCAGGAAAAACUUCUAAACGUAGAUAAUUAUUGACCGUACUGUAAACCGACACAGGUGGACAGGUAGAGAAUACCAAGGCGAUGAGAGAACCCAGGUGAAGGAACUAGGCAAAAUGACACCGUAACUUCGGGAGAAGGUGUGCCUGAUUUGGUGAUAGGAUUUACUCCUUAAGCUGGAUUGGGUUGCAGAGUCCAGGUGGCUGCGACUGUUUACUAAAAACAUAGCACUCUGCGAACUCGUAAGAGGAAGUAUAGGGUGUGACGCCUGCCCGGUGCCGGAAGGUUAAUUGAAGGGGUUAGCGUAAGCGAAGCUCUGGAUCGAAGCCCCGGUAAACGGCGGCCGUAACUAUAACGGUCCUAAGGUAGCGAAAUUCCUUGUCGGGUAAGUUCCGACCUGCACGAAUGGCGUAACGAUGGCCACACUGUCUCCAUCUGGGACUCAGUGAAAUUGAAAUCGCAGUGAAGAUGCUGCGUACCCGCGGUUAGACGGAAAGACCCCGUGAACCUUUACUAUAGCUUUGCACUGGACUUUGAUGAUAUUUGUGUAGGAUAGGUGGGAGACAAUGAAGAUAAGACGCUAGUUUUAUUGGAGUCGACCUUGAAAUACCACCCUGAUAUUGUUGGAGUUCUAACUCAGGUGAAUGCCGAGGACAGUGUAUGGUGGGUAGUUUGACUGGGGCGGUCUCCUCCCAAAGAGUAACGGAGGAGUACGAAGGUGCACUCGGUGCGGUCGGAAAUCGCACCAAGAGUAUAAAGGCAAAAGUGCGCUUAACUGCGAGAGUGACGGCUCGAGCAGGUACGAAAGUAGGUCUUAGUGAUCCGGUGGCACUGAAUGGAAGGGCCAUCGCUCAACGGAUAAAAGGUACUCCGGGGAUAACAGGCUGAUUCCUCCCAAGAGUUCAUAUCGACGGAGGAGUUUGGCACCUCGAUGUCGGCUCAUCACAUCCUGGGGCUGAAGCAGGUCCCAAGGGUAUGGCUGUUCGCCAUUUAAAGUGGUACGCGAGCUGGGUUUAGAACGUCGUGAGACAGUUCGGUCCCUAUCUGCCGUGGGCGUAGGAGAUUUGAGAGGGUUUGCUCCUAGUACGAGAGGACCGGAGUGAACGAACCACUGGUGUUUGGGUUGUUUCGCCAGAAGCACUGCCCAGUAGCUACGUUCGGACGGGAUAACCGCUGAAAGCAUCUAAGCGGGAAGCCUUCCUCAAGAUGAGAUCUCCCGGGAAUUAAAUUCCCCUAAAGGGUUGUUGAAGACUACGACGUUGAUAGGCUGGAUGUGUAAGUGCAGUAAUGUAUGAAGCUAACCAGUACUAAUUGCCCGAGAGACUUGGUUAU
This 2978-nucleotide ribosomal RNA is filed under the name Fangia hongkongensis FSC776 = DSM 21703. RNAcentral describes it as "bacterial LSU rRNA". It matches the Rfam family "Bacterial large subunit ribosomal RNA". Lineage: Bacteria; Pseudomonadati; Pseudomonadota; Gammaproteobacteria; Thiotrichales; Fastidiosibacteraceae. The record is from RNAcentral.